This 253-nucleotide ribosomal RNA is filed under the name uncultured bacterium. RNAcentral's name for it is "partial 16S ribosomal RNA". It matches the Rfam family "Bacterial small subunit ribosomal RNA", at positions 524 to 776 of the family's 1533-position model. The record is from RNAcentral.
UACGUAGGGGGCGAGCGUUGUCCGGAGUUACUGGGCGUAAAGGGCAUGCAGGCGGUCCGACACGUUUUGUGUGACAGCGGGUGGCUUAACUACCCGAGGAUACGAAAGACGGUUGGACUUGAGGACUCGAGAGGGACACGGAAUUCCGGGUGGAGUGGUGAAAUGCGCAGAUAUCGGGAGGAACACCAAUGGCGAAGGCAGCUCGCUGGGACGGUACUGACGCUGAGACGCGAAAGCGUGGGGAGCAAACAGG